GCUGGAUAUGGUGGCACAUGACUGUAUUCCUGGCAACUUUGGAGGCUGAGGCAGGUGGAUGGAUCUCUUGAGCCCAGGACUUUGAAGCCAGCCUGGGCAACAUAGCAAGACCCUGCUCCAA
This 121-nucleotide small RNA is filed under the name Marmota monax (woodchuck). Lineage: Eukaryota; Metazoa; Chordata; Mammalia; Rodentia; Sciuridae. The record is from RNAcentral.